This is a long non-coding RNA of Patiria miniata (bat star), 333 nucleotides long. RefSeq lists it as uncharacterized. The transcript has 4 exons. Lineage: Eukaryota; Metazoa; Echinodermata; Asteroidea; Valvatida; Asterinidae. The record is from RefSeq and is a predicted model, not a curated record.
GCCAGAAUGAAGGUUUACAUGUGCCUGCUUCUCCUGAUGGUCGUUGGAUGUGCCUUGUGUUUUGCAGAGAAAUUUCUUGCCGAGAAGUUGAUGCAAGACCUGGAAUCUCGCGGAAUAGUGAAGAAGGCGAAGACUUGCACAACUGAUGCCGAAUGUGAUCCAAUGUAUUGUUCUAAACCUCCCGGUCACGAUCAGGGCUUUUGCUGGUGGGUGGGAAAAGGACGCUAGGAAUUCUGACAAUCAACAUGAAUGAAUUAAACCAUGAUCGUCAGUGGUUAACCGACAGCAAGGCUUUAUUCUGAUUCAAUAAAAAGAUUUGACAUUAAUUCAUUU